UACGUAGGGUGCGAGCGUUGUCCGGAAUUAUUGGGCGUAAAGGGCUCGUAGGCGGUUUGUCGCGUCGGGAGUGAAAACACUGGGCUUAACCGAGUGCUUGCUUUCGAUACGGGCAGACUUGAGGCAUUGAGGGGAGAACGGAAUUCCUGGUGUAGCGGUGAAAUGCGCAGAUAUCAGGAGGAACACCGGUGGCGAAGGCGGUUCUCUGGCAAUGUUCUGACGCUGAGGAGCGAAAGUGUGGGGAGCGAACAGG
Molecule: ribosomal RNA, 253 nt
Filed under: uncultured bacterium
Lineage: Bacteria
Also listed under: 1 other name
Description: partial 16S ribosomal RNA
Rfam family: Bacterial small subunit ribosomal RNA
Source: RNAcentral